Molecule: ribosomal RNA, 447 nt
Filed under: uncultured bacterium
Lineage: Bacteria
Description: partial 16S ribosomal RNA
Rfam family: Bacterial small subunit ribosomal RNA
Source: RNAcentral
AGCGAACGCUGGCGGCAGGCCUAACACAUGCAAGACGAGCGCCCCGCAAGGGGAGCGGCAGACGGGAGAGUAACACGUGGGAACGUACCCUUUGGUUCGGAACAACCCAGGGAAACUUGGGCUAAUACCGGAUAAGCCCUUACGGGGAAAGAUUUAUCGCCGAAGGAUCGGCCCGCGUCUGAUUAGCUAGUUGGUGGGGUAACGGCCCACCAAGGCGACGAUCAGUAGCUGGUCUGAGAGGAUGAGCAGCCUCACUGGGACUGAGACACGGCCCAGACUCCUAAGGGGGGCAGCAGUGGUGAAUAUUGGACAAUGGGCGCAAGCCUGAUCCAGCCGGGCCGCGUGGGUGAUGAAGGCCCUAGGGUUGUAAAGCCCUUUCGGCGGGGAAGAUAAUGACGGUACCCGCAGAAGAAGCCCCGGCUAACUUCGUGCCAGCCGCCGCGGUAA